GACGAACGCUGGCGGCGUGCUUAACACAUGCAAGUCGAACGGGCCCGCCCCUGUUUUUGGGGGUGGGUUGAGUGGCGAACGGGUGAGUAUCACGUGAGUAACCUGCCCCCUGCUCCUGGAUAACUGCUUGAAAGGGCGGCUAAUACGGGGUGUGCCGGCUGGUCCGCAUGGGCCUGGUCGGGAUAGUUUCAUCUUCGGGUGUUUCGGUGGGGGAUGGGCUCGCGGCCUAUCAGCUUGUUGGUGGGGUGAUGGCCCACCAAGGCGGUGACGGGUAGCCGGCCUGAGAGGGUGGGCGGCCAAGCUGGGACUGGGCCACGGCCCAGACUCCUGCGGGAGGCAGCAGUGGGGGGUAUUGCACAAUGGGCGGAAGGCUGAUGCAGCGACGGCGCGUGAGGGAUGGAGGCCGUCGGGUUGGGAACCUCUUUCUCCGGUGGUGAAGGCCCUGUCCGUUGCGGCGGGGUUGACGGUAGCCGGGUAUGAAGCGCCGGCUAACUACGUG
RNAcentral lists this ribosomal RNA (499 nucleotides) under uncultured bacterium. RNAcentral's name for it is "partial 16S ribosomal RNA". It matches the Rfam family "Bacterial small subunit ribosomal RNA", at positions 28 to 507 of the family's 1533-position model. The record is from RNAcentral.